RNAcentral lists this long non-coding RNA (325 nucleotides) under Capsicum annuum. RNAcentral describes it as "long non-coding RNA (CANN_LNC004547)". The record is from RNAcentral. Lineage: Eukaryota; Viridiplantae; Streptophyta; Magnoliopsida; Solanales; Solanaceae.
ACCCCACAAUCGUCUUCUUCACCAACAAAUGCAAGGAUUCAUCUCCUCCACCAACAAAUUCAAAAAAUCAUUAUUCUCAAAUCAGCUGAAACAUCAUUGUCAGUUUUAGAUCUGAAAGAGACGAUUAUUGAGGUUGUGUUGGAUUCAUUGUUAGUUUGAGAAAGUUAUAGUUUUUUUGAGUGUUUGACAGAAAAUUGGUAUGUGGGUUAGUGCUAGAUUAGUGUUUGACUGAAAAUUGGUAAAUGGGCAUGUGUUAGAUUCAUCAUAGUUUGAGAAAUUGCUAAGUUUUUGAUUGUUUGGCUGAAAAUUGGUAAGUGUGUCAUUG